Small nucleolar RNA from Brassica oleracea var. oleracea, 86 nucleotides. It matches the Rfam family "small nucleolar RNA snoR114". The record is from Rfam. Lineage: Eukaryota; Viridiplantae; Streptophyta; Magnoliopsida; Brassicales; Brassicaceae.
GAGCUGUGAGGAUUUAGGCUUCAGCGAUGGUUGGGUCCAUCGCAUUCAUCUGAUAUCCGGAUGCAAUAUAGCCAUACACUGAGCUC